This 451-nucleotide ribosomal RNA is filed under the name uncultured bacterium. Its description in RNAcentral is "SSU rRNA". It matches the Rfam family "Bacterial small subunit ribosomal RNA", at positions 26 to 518 of the family's 1533-position model. The record is from RNAcentral.
AGAGCGAACGCUGGCGGCAGGCUUAACACAUGCAAGUCGAGCGGGCGUAGCAAUACGUCAGCGGCAGACGGGUGAGUAACGCGUGGGAACGUACCUUUUGGUUCGGAACAACCCAGGGAAACUUGGGCUAAAUACCGGAUAAGCCCUUACGGGGAAAGAUUUAUCGCCGAAAGAUCGGCCCGCGUCUGAUUAGCUAGUUGGUGAGGUAAUGGCUCACCAAGGCGACGAUCAGUAGCUGGUCUGAGAGGAUGAUCAGCCACAUUGGGACUGAGACACGGCCCAAACUCCUACGGGAGGCAGCAGUGGGGAAUAUUGGACAAUGGGCGCAAGCCUGAUCCAGCCAUGCCGCGUGAGUGAUGAAGGCCCUAGGGUUGUAAAGGCUCUUUUGUGCGGGAAGAUAAUGACGGUACCGCAAAGAAUAAGCCCCGGCUAACUUCGCGCCAGCAGCCGC